AGCCAUACACAUAUCCACACAAGGCCAGGCAGUGUGCAGCAAAGUUUACAUGUCUGCUUGUUUAAUCUUCACAAUGACUACGUGACAUUAUUCAGAUAGCCUCAUUUCCGUCAUUAUAAAGAUGAGAGAAGUGGAAGUUCAGAGACAGCAAAUUAUUGCUCAAAGUCACAUACCCAGGCGGGGCAGCACCAGGUCCCCUGAACCCCAGGCCCUCCCUCUCACCCUGGCACUCUGCCAAAUGACUGCUAAUGAGAAUAUAUGCUCUGAAGGAAGAUAUGAAAAAAAUUGCUUCCACUGAGGGUGUUCUGGGACACAGAGGCAGUGGGAUCUUAAAGAGAAGGCUUUUCAUCGGUGGAGUGGAAGAACAAUAGCAGAGAGAGCUGCCCCCAGUGGAAGGGGAGCUAUCGGAAGCCUUGGAUGCCCAGGAGCUGAGGAGGGAACCAUGCUGUGAUGCCAGUUUUAACCACCUGCCAAGUCUGAAAGUGCUAAUUGAGCUAGAGUACAGUGGCGCAAUCUCAGCUCGCUGCAACCUCUGCCUCCCAGGUUCAAGCGAUUCUCCUGCUUCAGCCUCCCCAGUACCUGGGAUUACAGCCCCCUGCCACCACGCCCGGCUAAUUUUUGUAUUUUUAGUAGAGACGGGGUUUCACCAUGUUGGCCAGGCUGGUCUCAAACUCCUGACAUCAGGUGAUCUGCCCGCCUCGGCCUCUCAGAGUGCUGGGAUUACAAGCGUGAGCCACCGUGCCCGUCCCAUUUCUAGUAAUUAUCUUAAGAAAAUAAUCAAACAUGUAUACGAAGAUAUCUGUACAAGGGUGUUCAUCGUAGUAUUAAUGCUAACAGUGAAACAUUGGUAUAUUAUUCUGUUCUCCCAUUCCUAUAAAGAAAAACCUGACACUGGGUAAUUUAUAAAGAAAAAGGCUCUCAUUGGCUCACGGUUCUGCAGGCUGUAUUAGAGGCUUGAUGUUGGCAUCUACUUGGCUUCUAAGGCGGCCUCAGAAAGCUUCCAAUCAUGGCGGCAGGUGAAGGCAGGGAGCACGCAGGUCACAUGGCUGGAGCAGGAGCAAGAGAGAGAGCGAGGGGGGAGAUGCCACACACUUUCAAACGACCAGAUCGAGUGAGAAUUCACUGAACUAUCAUGAGAACAGCACCAAGAGGAUGGUCCUAAAGCAUCUGUGAGAAAUCCACCCCCCUGAUCCGAUCACCUCCCACCAGGCCCCAUCUCCAACACUGGGGAUUAUAUUUCAAUAUGAGAUUUGGGCAGGGACACACAUCCAAACCAUACCAACUGGCAACACUGUAAAUAUUCAGUGGUCAAAUGUGAAACUAUAUUGUAAGUUAUGGCAAAUUUAUGCACGGAAUAUGGCACAGAUAUUAAAACAUCACAUUUUCAAAUUCAUUAAUGGCAUACAGCAUUGCUGACAAUGUAUUAUAGAAAAGAAAAUGACCCACUUUCAAUUUUAAAGGGAUGUGUGUGUGUGUAUAUAGUUGCAGUUUUACAUAUACAUGGUUGGCCAGCCGUGAUGGCUCAUACCUGUAAUCCCAGCACUUUGGGAGGCCAAGACAGGUGGCUUGCUUGAGCCUCAGGGGUUUGAGACUAGCCUGAGCAAUAUAGCAAGACCUCAUGUCUAUUUUUUAAAUAAAAACAAUAAAAAAUAAAAAAUAUGUACACAUGAUUAUACAUAGUAAAAAGAUUGGCAUUAAAUAUGCUAAAAUGUUAACCUUGAUUAUCUCUUACAGCUAGGAAUCUGGGUGAAUACUGUUAUUCCACACAUAAUUUUCUAUAUUUUCUACCAUGAACAGGCAUUACAUCUGUAACCAUAAAAAUAAUGUUAUUUUGUUUAUUGAAGUUCAUUUAUUUAUAUUCUGUUUCUAAAAUGAUUUCAGUAUUGGAAAAGGAAUUGACUCAUUACUUCACAAAUAUAAAAAGCAAUAUCAAAAUCCAUAAUGUGAAUAUUUGUUUGCCUGGGGCCAACUUACCAAAUCAAGAACUGCACAAAUGAAUGAAGUAUGCAGCAGAUUCAGAGCCUGGUGAUGUACUUUGAUUUCAUACAUAAUAUUGAAACAUUUACAGUUAUGUCUAUAAUCUGACCUUAGUGCCCAGCCUCAUGAAACAAUCUAUUUUUCCCUUUUUUGGUCAAUGUCUUUCCAUACACAUGUGUUGAGGGGUGACUGUCCCCUCAAGGAAGAGGAAAUCUACUAUACUGUGUACCAUGCAAAUAUUUUUCUAGGCUGAGAUUAUUACUUCCAGAAAAAGGGAGAUUACUGCUUUCUAAUGUUUUUCAGUUUAAAUAAUUCUGCUAGUGUGGUCUUUUACAUUCAGGUAAAAUCUGACUACCUAAAAAUUCCUCAUCUUGAAAUUAGAUAAGAUAUUGGCCUUUCAAUUCUGGAGGUCAUCAUUUCUAUCUGUCCCCAGCUCUUUUUUACCUAUUUUAUCAGCUCCUUGAACUUUUCUACACACAAUGCGAUGUCCAGAACUCUCUUCCUUACUGAUACAGUUAUCACAUGCCAUAUCUGUAUGCAUUUUCUUGAAAUGUGGUAACAGAUGUGUACACAUAUGGUUUAAUGUGUACAGAAUGCAGAGUCACUACCCUCUUCCUGAACGGGACGAACACCAACAAUGCAGGUUGUCACAUCACACACUGACACAUGCAUUCAACGUGGGCCAAGAAAACAAAAAUAUUAAUAAAAACAAAUUUUCCCAGGGGCUUUUUAUGUCAGGUUUUUGUAUUCAUCUGCUUGGGAUGCCAUAAAAAAAUACCACAGACUGGGUGACUUAAACAAUGGACAUUUAUUUCCUCACAUUCCGGAGGCUGGAAGUCCCUGAUCAAAAUGCUGGCUGAUUUGGUUGCAGGUGAGGGCUCUCUUCCUGGCUUACAGACAGCUGCCUUCUCACUAUGCCCUCACAUGGCCUUUCCUCUGUGUGCCUGCAGAGAGCAAGAGCUUUGGUCUCUCUUCUUCUUCUAAGGACACCAGUCGUAUCAGAUUUAGGCCCCACCCUUAUGACCUCAUUUAACCUUAAUUAUCUCCUUAAAGGCCCUGUCUCCAAACACCACAUUGGGGGCUAGGUCUGCAAGAUAUAAAUUUGGGGGAGACACAUUUCAGUACACAACAGUUUUGUCAAGUCAAGAGUUACAUGUCUAGCAGGGCAUGGUGGCUCAUGCCUGUGAUCCCAGCACUUUGGAAGGCCGAGAGAGGAUUGCUUGAGGCCAGGGGUUUGAGACUAGCCUAGGCAACAUAGCAAGACUCUGUGUCUCAAAAAAAUUAAACAAUUUGCUGGGCAGAGUGGCAUGCACCUGCAUUCCCAGCUACUUGAAAGACUGAGGUGAGAAGAUCACUUGACCCCAGGAGUUUGAGGCUCCAGUGAGCUAUGAUGGCACCACUGCACUCCAGCCUGGGUGACAGAGCAAGACCCUGUCUCUAAAAGGAAUAAAGAAAUAAAACGUACAAUAACCUGCCUAAAUAUUUCUAUUCUUGCCUAUCCACAAUUACGUCCCCACAGGCUUACCAUAAUUGUCCUUUAAAAAUAUGAGUCAGAUCAAGUCACUGAUCUGCUCAAAGCCCUCCAAGAUAUUCCCUUUAUACUCAAAAUACAAACUCCUUAAAGUAAUCUACCAGGCCCUGUGUAAUUUGGCCCCACUUACCUUACCAAGCCUCCCUUCUUCACUGCAUUCUCCAGUAGAAGCCUCCCUUUGGUUCCACAUAAGAGGCUGGUCUCUGCCGGCUGCCCUGGCCCUUCCAUCCAUCUUCCUGGGAUGCUUUUGCCAGGUUUGCCCCCUGCACUCUCAGACCUCCACUCAACUACCACCUUCUGUCCCCUUCAUCUAAACUCAGUCCCACCUCACUCCAUGAUCUCAUUCCAUUUGUUUUAAUGCACACAUAUAUAUAAUAAUUGCAUUACAUAUAUAUGUUAUGACUUGCAAUUAUAAUGCAAUUAUACAUGUUACUAUUUGCAAUUAUAAUACAAUUAUACUAUAAUUGCAUUACAUAUAUAAGUUACUAUCUGCAAUUAUAAUUACAUUACAAUUGCAUAUAUAUGCAAUAACAUAUAUGUACUACCUGCAAUUAUAGUUUACAUUUAUUUAUUUAUUAUCUCUCCCUCCUUUUAAAAAAUCUCAUUAGCCACUGUACUUCCAAACCCUAGAAGCGUGCCUGGCACAUAAAAGGUGCUGAAUCAUGGGUUGGAAAAAUGGAUCCUGUGUGUAGAAUUUUGCAAUAUUUCCCCUCCUAAGCGCAGGGUUUUACUUUGAUCUGGUUAAAUUUUAUUUCUAACUGUUGAUUUCUCUGCUCACUGUUCACUUGUCAAUAUUAUUUUGAAUAUUACUUUGUUGUUAAUCAUAUUAGAUAUUUCUCUCAGCUGUUGAUCAUGAAAAAUGUAAGUACUCCCUACAGUUGUAUCAAGAAGCAAAAAAAUGUAAGUUUCUAAUAAGCUGUAAAAUAUGCAAAAAACUAGUUAUGUGUGUUGCCAAUAUCAUAUAUAUGAUUAUAUAUGUAUGAAUAUAUAUAUGUUAUGGAUUGAACUGUGUCCCCUCACAAUUCAUAUGUUGAUGUUCUAACCCCUCGUGCCUUGGAAUGUAACAGUACUUGCAGAUUGGGUCUUUAAAUAGGUGAUUAAGUUAAAAUCAGUCCAUUAGGAUGGACCCUAAUUAAUCUGACUGGUAUCCUUAUAAGAGGAGGGGAUCAGGACACAAGAGAGAUACCAGGGGCGUGCACACAGGGAAAAAUGCACGCAGAGAAACAGAGAAAAGGUGAUUAUCUAAAAGUCAAGGAGGCAGGUCUCAGGAAAAGCCCUGCCAACUCUUUCAUCUGGAACUUCCAGGAUCUGGAACUGUGAGAAAGUAAAUUUACCUUGUUUAAGCCACCAAGUCUGUGAAGUUUUGUUGUGGCAGGCCAAGCAGACCAGUACUAGAUGUAAAAUCAGGAUAAUACACAAAGGCCUGCUUCAGAAAAGAAAUCAAAGGUCAGCCUACUUAGGGAAGCAGUAGGAACCAUGAGAAAAGGACAAGGCUCCACAGUUGUGCCUUCUCUCUGCCCCAUCCCAUCCCUAGUUCACAUGGGCUGGGGAAGCUGGAAGCUGAGGGCUGGCUGCAAACUAACCAGACGUCCUUCUUUAUGCUGUCCCGGAGACAGCCCCAGCCUCUGCCCAAGCUUGGGGCAGGGAAAAAAGGGGACUUGGAGAGCACAUAAGAGGGAUAUUUUACAAAUGCCUUAAGAAGCUAAAGAAGACUAAAAACUGCAAGUGAGUGAAAGGUUAUGCAAUGUGGGCUAAGGUGGUGUUAAGCAUUUCUGAAACUCAUUGGGGAAAGAGGGAUUUCAAAAGUAUAGUUUGGAAGAUUUCAUAGGGGGAAAAAAAAAUCAUGAUUAUACCUCAGUGAAUGGAGACUCUUCAAUUAACCAAUGACAUUUAUUGCAUAGGCUAAGUACUUUUUUUCCUACCAAACUGGAACAUGAGAAGAAGAGGGCAAUUUGUAGGUAGCGUAUUACCUGCCAUCACUCAUGCUUUGCUUAUUUUUCAUACUGCACUAAUAUCCUCCCUGGCUGCAGCUGUCUGGGCUGUUUUGGCUUACAUAUUUCAUGGGCAUUUAGGUACUGGAUGCAAGGAUUAAAUUUGAUGACAAAUGAGAAGGUAGAUUAUAGUGGUGGGAUUUUCACAAGUAUAAAGCCACCACCUGACCUGCUGAAAUCACAAGGGCAGGAAUUAAUGGCAUAGAAGAUACCACCAUAUAUUCCUUGGUCACUUUUCGUCUGUCCUUGGAAUAAGUUAUCAGCUCCCUGCCAACCUCGUGCAAAGGCAUGCACAAUCUGAAUGAUAUCCACAGAACACUGAAUGAUACUGUGUCCAAUCUGGAAGCACGGGAAGUGGCACUCAGGAAGACAUAAAUCAGUUUAUCAUACCCAGACCAAAAAGAAGGAAGCAGACAGGACACAAACAUUGAUUUAAUAUGAGAGGCUUUACAUAUGUUACCCUCCUUUAAUCCUUACAACAACCCUCAAUUUUCCUGAAUUUUAUUCUAAAAAUGGUGAGGCUCCGAGAGGUUAUUAUCUGCCAAGGUCACCUAGCUGGUAUAUGACGAAGUCAGGAUUUCGGUCCAGAUCCGUGUGACUUCAACCCUUGCUCUUUCCAAUAUACCCACUUUUUCUCCCUGAAUGUUUCUUUAGAUGGAGACUUUGCUUAACUGCAGCCUCCAAGAGGCAUGAGAAAUUCACAUGGAGGACUUCUAAAGGAACGGGUGGAAGGCAAUGCCUCCUGAGCCUUUGUAUGUGAAAGGCAUUCUGCUCAGCACUGCAAAGAACACAGAGAAAACCACCUAAAGAUGCUCAGAAUCUCAUGCAAGGGCUGAUUUACAUGUCACUUUUCUUUGAAAUAUUUUUUUAUUGCCGUAAGGGCACUUAACGUGAGACCUAUCCUCUUAAAAAAUUGUAGGCAUACAAUACAUUAUUGUUGAUUAUAAAGAUAUCAUACCUCACAAUUGUCGGGACGGCUAUUACCAAAAAAAAAAAAAAAAAAGCAUUCUGUCACUUGAGACAACACAGAUGAAUGUGGAGGACAUUAUGUUCAGUAAAACAAGUCAGGAACAGAAAUACAAAUACCACACAAUCUCACCUACAUGUAGAAUCUUAAAAAGUUGAACAAAUAGAAAAAGAGAGUAGAAAAAGAGACUGGGGGUUAGAGGAUUGGAGAGAUGUUAGUCAAAGAACACAAAAUUUCAGUUAGAUGGGAGGAAUAAGUCGUAGAGAUCUAUUGCCUAUCAUGGUGACUAUAGUUAUUAUACACCGGAAAAUUGCUAAGAGUAGAAUGUAAGCAUUCUCACCACAAAAAAAAAAAAAAAAGGUAAACAUAUGAGGUAGGGCAUAUGUUAAUUAGCUCAAUUUAGCCAUUCCACAAUGUGUACAUAUAUCAAAACAUCAUGUUGUACACCAAAAAUAUAUAUAAAUUUGUCAAUUAAAAAUUAAAUUAAACAAAAAACAAGUGUGGGCAAGGAUAUGGAGAAACUGAAACCAGUGUAUGCUGUUGGUGGGACUGCAAAAUGAUACAGCCGCUAUGGAAAACAGUGUGGAGGUUCCUCAAAGAGAUAAAAAUAAAACUACCACAUGAUUCAGCCAUCUCAUUUUUGGGUAUAUAUCUGAAAUAAUUGAAAUCAGGAUCUAAAAAAGAGAUAUUAUCACAUCCGUGUUUAUCGCAGUGAGUAAGAAAUUCACAAUAGCCAAGAUAAGGAAAGGACCCAUAUGUUCACUGACAGAUGAAUGGAUAAAGAAAUUGUGGUAUAUACAUACAAUGAAAUACUAUUCAGCUUUUAAAAAGUGAAAAAUUCUGCAAUAUGCAACAACAUGGAUGAACAUUGAGGACAUUAUGCUAAGUGAAAUAAGUUACACACAAAAAGACAAGUACUACAUGAUUCCACCUCCAUGAGUCAUCUAAAAUGGUCAAAUUCUUAAAAUCAAAGACUAGAAUGGUGGUUACCAAGGGCUUGGAGCAGAGGCAAAUGAAAUGUAUUAAUCGGUUUUUUUGAGAAGGUCAUGGCAGACGAGAGGCAGGACUAGAUUGCAGCUCCCACUCAGAUGGACAGAGCAGUGUGUGUAGUCUCGCAUUGUAAACUUUUGCUCCAGAACUACUGCAGAAAUAAUUCAGGAAAGCCAAGAGAACCCACGGACCCUCUGAAGGAAGCAAAUUGCUCCUGCAGGACCCAGGAGACACCCCAAAUACCGUGACUGCCCAAACUCUGGAAGUGAGAAAGGGGGAUCUUCUGCCUCUGAACACACAUGCUCACUAAGGAACCUGAAGGUCUACAACACGGAAGAAGAUUCUGAUCUAACCUGGAGCUGAGUCAAUUUAGAGAGCCAAGCGAAAUACAGGAGUAGAGGAAGCAGCGGGAAAAGCCCCGUGGGCUCUCUGCGUCCCCUGGGUAGCCAUUUCCGCCUUGCCUCACAGGGGGCCUUGGGGAGGACUGCCAGAAAAGGACUGGGAAAAGGCCACAAGGAGAAGGAAACCUCCAGCUGAACUUUGUAAUAAUUCCAACCGCAUGAGAAAUCUCCUGGCCAGAACUCAAGGGAGGGCAUGAAUCCUGUGUGCAGACUCCACAGGUGGGGAAGCAUGAAAGCCCUACUUACUUUCAUAGCUGGGAGGUGAGUAGCCUGGAGCUAGUUCUCAGCCCUGCUCACCCACUGCCUGGAAACAGACUCGGUGCUGUUGGGGGGUGGGUACAGUGAAAGUGAGAUCAUCCUUUUGGCUUGCAUGGGAGCUGGGUGAGGCCUGUGACUGCUGGCUUUCCCCGACCUCCCUGACAACCUACAUGACACAGCAGAGGCAGCUAUAAUCCUCCUAGGAACAUAACUCUAUUGACCUGGGAACCACACUCCCAUCCCCCACAGCAGCCACAGCAACACCCUCCCAUAAGGAGAGUCUGGGCUCAGACACACCUAGCCUUGCCCCCACCUGAUGGUCCUUUCUACCCACGCUGGAGCUGAAGACAAAGGACUUAUACUCUGGGGAGUUCUAGGGCCCUGCCCACCACCUGAUCCUCCCUAUACUACCACAGCUGAUGCUUUCUUGAAAGUGCCACCUCCCUGCAGGAGGCCAACCAGCACAAAAAUAGUGCAUUAACAACCGAAAUUAAGGACCCUCACAGAGUCCAUUUCACCCCCCUGCCAACUCCACCAGAGCAGAUGCUGGUAUCCACAGCUGAGAGACCCACAGAUGGUUCACAUCACAGGACUCUGUAUAGACAACCCCAGUACCAGCCCAGAGCCUGGUUGACCUGAUGGGUGGCUAGAUCCAGAAGACAGAUUACAAUCACUACAGCUUUGCUCUCAGGAAGGCAAAUCCCUAGGAAAAGAGAAAGUACUACAUCAAGGGAACAUCCCAUGGGACAAAAGAAUCUGAACAACAGCCUUGAGCCCUAGACCUUCCCUCUGACACAGUCUACCCAAAUGAGAAGAAACCAGAAAACCAACCGUGGUUAUAUGACAAAACAAGGCUCUUUAACACCCCCAAAAAAAAUCACUCCAGGUCACCAGCAAUGGAUCCAAACCAAGAAGAAAUCCCUGAUUUACCUGAAAAAAGAAUUCAGAGAGUCAGUUAUUAGGCUAAUCAGGGAGCCACCAGAGAAAGGCAAAGCCCAAUUUAAGGAAAUUUUUUAAAAUGAUACAAGAAAUGAGGGGAGAGAUCUUCAGUGAAAUAGCAUAAAUAAAAAACAAUCAAAACUUCAGGAAACAAUGGAUGCACUUAUAGAAAUGCAGAAUGCUCUGGAAAGUCUCAGCAAUGCAAUCAAAUGAGCAGAAGAAAGAACUUCAGAGCUUGAAGACAAGGAUUUUAAUUAACCCAAUCCAACAAGACAAAGAAAAAAGAAUAAGAAAAUAUGAACAAAGGCUCCAAGAAGUCUAAGAUUCUUUCAAACAACCAAACCUAAAAAUAAUCGGCAAUCCUGAGGAAGUAGAGAAAUCUAAAAGUCUGGAAAACAUAUUUGUUGGAAUAAUCAAGGAAAACUUCCCUGGCCUUGCUAGAGACCUAGACAUCCAAAUACAAGAAACUCAAAGAACACCUGGGAAAUUCACCACAAAAAGAUCAUAACCUAGGCACAUUGUCAUCAGGUUAUCUAAAGUUAAGAUGAAGGAAAGAAUCUUAAGAGCUGUGAGGAAAAGCACCAGGUAACAUAUGAAGGAGAAUCUAUCAGAUUAACAGCAGAUUUAUCAGCAGAAACCCUACAAGCUAGAAGGUACUGGAGCCCUAUCUUCAGCUUCCUUAAACAAAACAAUUAUCAGCCAAGAAUUUUGUAUCCAGCAAAACUAAGCUUCAUAAAUGCAGGAAAGAUACAGUCUUUUUCAGAGAAACAAAUGCGGAGAGAAUUUGCCACUACACCAAGCCAGCACUACAAGAAUGCUAAAAGGAGCUCUAAAUCUUGAAACAAAUCCUGGAAACACAUCAAAACAGUACCUCUUUAAAGCAUAAAUCACACAGGACCUAUAAAACAAAAAUACAAUUAAAGAUUAAAAAAAAAGUAUACAGGCAACAAAUAGCAUGAUGAAUGGAAUAGUGCCUCACAUCUCAAUACUAACAUUGAAUAUAAAUGGCCUAAAUGCACCACUUAAAAGAUAACAGAAUUGCAGAAUGAAUAAGAAUUCACCAACCAUCUGCUGCCUUCAAGAGACUCACCUAACACUUAAGGACUCACAUAAACUUAAAGGGGUGGAAAAAGAUAUUCCAUACAAAUGCACACCAAAAGCAAGCAGGGGUAGCUAUUCUUAUAUCAGGCAAAGCAAACUUUAAAGCAACAGCAGUUAAAAAAGACAAAGAAGGACAUCAUUAUGUAAUGAUACAAGGCCUUGUCCAACAGGAAAAUAUCACAAUCCUAAAUAUAUAUGCAUCUAACACUGAAGCUCCCAAAUUUACUACUAGACCUAAGGAAUGAAAUAGACAGCAACAAAAUAAUAGUGGGGGACUUCAAUACUCCACUGACAGCACUAGACAGGUCAUCAAGACAGAAAGUCAACAAAAAAAAUGGAUUUAAACUAUACCCUGGAAUAAAUGAACUUAACAUAUUUACAGAACAUUCUACCCACAAACCUCAGAAUAUACAUUCUACUCAUCAGCUCAUGGGACUUUCUCCAAGAUAGACCAUAUGAUAGGCUAUAAAAAAGCCUCAAUAAAUUUAAUAAAAUUGAAAUUAUAUCAAGCACUCUCUCAGACCACAGUGGAAUAAAACCGGAAAUCAACUCUAAAAGGAACUUUCAAAACCAUGCAAAUACAUGGAAAUUAAAUAAUCUGCUCCUGAAUGAUCGAUCAUUGGGUCAACAAUGAAAUCAAGAUGGAAAUUAAAAAUCUCUUCAAACUAAAUUACAAUAGUGACAUAACGUAUCAAAACAUCUGGGAUAUAGCAAAGGUGUAAGAGGAAAGUUCAUAGCCCUAAAUGCAUACAUCAAAAAGUCUGAAAGAGCACAAACAGACAAUCUAAGGUCACACCUCGAGGAGCUAGAGAAAAAAGAACAAACCAAACCCAAGCCCAGCAGAAGAAAGGAAAUAAGAUCAGAGCAGAACUAAAUGAAAUGGAAACAAACAAAAAAAAAUACGAAAGUGAAACAAAAAGCUGGUUUUUUGAAAAGAUAAAUAAAAUUGAUAGACCAUUAGCAAGAUUAACCAAGAAAAGAAGAGAGAAAAUCCAAAUAAGCUCAACUAGAGACAAAACAGGAGAUACUGCAACUGACCACAGAAAUACAAAAGAUCAUUCAAGUGUACUAUAAACACCUUUAUGUACAAAAACUAGAAAACCUAGAUGAGACGGAUAAAUUCCUGGAAAGAUACUAACCUCCUAGCUUAAAUCAGAAAGAAUUAGAUACCCUGAACAGACCAAUAAUAAGCAGUGAGAUUGAAAUGGUAAUUUAAAAAUUAACAACAACAACAACAAGAAAAAUCCAGGACCAGAUGGUUUCAAAGCUGAAUUCUACCAGACAUUCGAAGAAGAAUUGGUACCAAUCCUAUUGACACUAUUCCACAAGACAAAGAGGGAAUCCUCCCUAAAUCAUUCUAUGAAGCCGCUAUCACCCUAAUACAAAAACCAGGAAAGGCAUAAACAAAAAAGAAAACUACAGACCAAUAUCCCUGUUGAACAUAGAUGCAAAAAUCCUUAACAAAAUACUAGCUAACCUAAUCCAACAACAUAUCAAAAAGAUAAUCCACCAUGACCAAGUGGGUUUUAUACCAGAGAUGCAGGAAUGAUUUAACAUAUACAAAUCAAUAAAUGUGAUACACCACAUAAACAGAAUUAAAAACAAAAAUCACAUGAUCAUCUCAAUAGACACAGCAAAUUAAACAAAAUCCAGCAUCCCUUUAUGAUUUAAACUCUCAGCAAAAUCGGCAUACAAGAGGCAUAACUCAAUGUAAUAAAAGCCAUCUAUGACAAACCCACAGCCAACAUAAUACUAAAUGGGGAAAAGUUCAAAGCAUUCACUCUGAGAACUGGAACAAGACAAGGAUGCCCAAUCUCACUACUUCUCUUCAACAUAAGUACUUGAAGUUCUAAAAAGAGCAAUCAGACAAGAGAAAGAAAUAAAGUGCAUCCAAAUCAGUAAAGAGGAAGUCAAACUGUCUCUGCUGAUGGUAUGAUUGUAUACCUAGAAAACCCUAAAGACUCCUCCAAAAAGCUCCUAGAACUCCAGCAAAGUUUCUGGAUACAAAAUUAAUGUACACAAAUCAGCAGCUGUCCUGUACACCAAUAGCGACCAAGCUGAGAAUCAAACCAAGAACUCAACCCCUUUUACAAUAGCGGCAAAAAAAAACAAAACAACAACAACAAAAACUUGGGAAUACACCUAACCAAGGAGGUGAAAGACCUCUACAAAGAAAACUACAAAACCCUGCUGAAAGAAAUCAGAGACAGCACAAACAAAUGGAAACAUGUCCCUUGUUCAUGGAUAGGUAGAAUCAAUAUUGUGAAAAUGACCAUACUGACAAAAGCAAUCUACAAAUUUAAUGGAAUUCCCAUCACAAUACCACCUUUUCCAGUUCUUCACAGAACAAUAAAAAAAAAUCCUAAAAUUCAUAUGGAACCAAAAAAGAGUCCACAUAACCAAAGCAAGACUAAGCAAAGAGAACAAAUCUGAAGGCAUCACGUUACCUGAUUUCAAACUAUACUGUAAGGCCAUAGUCACCAAAACAGCAUGGUACUGGUACAAAAACAGGCACAUAGACCAAUGGGACAGAAUAGAGAACCCAGAAAUAAACCCAAAUACUUACAGCCAACUGAUCUGUGACAAAGCAAACAGAAACAUAAAGUGGGGAAAGGACACUCUAUUCAACAAAUGGUGCUGGGAUAAUUGGCUAGCCACAUAUAGGAGAAAGAAACUGGAUCCUCAUCUCUCAUCUUAUACAAGAAUCAACUCAAGAUGGAUCAAAGACUUAAAUCCAAGAUGUGAAACUAUAAAAAUUCUAGAUGAUAACAUCAGAAAAACCCUUCUAGACAUUGGCUUAGGCAAGGAUUUCAUGACGGAGAACCCAAAAACAAAUAAAAACAAAGAUAAAUAGCUGGGACUUAAUUAAACUAAAGAGCUUUUGCCUAGCAAAGGAACAGUCAGCAGAGUAAACAGACAACCCACAGACUUGGAGAAAAUCUUCACAAUCUAUACAUCUGACAAAGGAUUAAUAUUCAGAAUCUACAACAAGCUCAAACAAAUUAGCAAGAAAAAAAAUCCCAUCAAAAAGUGGAGUAAGGACAUGAAUAGACAAUUCUCAAAAGAAAAUAUACAAAUGGCCAACAUACAUACGAAAAAAUGCUCAGCAUCACUAAUGACCAGGGAAAUGCAAAUCAAAACCACAAUGUGACACCAUCUUACUCCUGCAAGAACGGCCAUAGUCAAAAAAAAUAAAAAUAAAUGGAUGUUGGGGUGAUGCGGUGAAGGUGAACAGGGUACACUUCUAGUAUAGAAGUGUAGGAAUGUAAACUAGUACAACCACUAUGGAAAACACUGGAGAGUCCUUAAAGAACUAAAAGUGGAAUUACCAUUUGAUUCAGCAACCCCACUGCUGGGUAUCUACCCAGAGGAAAAAAAGUAAUAUGAAAAAGAUAUUUGCACACCCAUAUUUAUAGCAGCACAAUUUGCAAUUGCAAAAAUGUGGAACCAACCCAAAUGCCCAUCAAUAAACAAGUGGAUAAAGAAACUGUGGUAUAUACAUAUAUAUAUGAUGGAAUAUUACUCAGCCAUAAAAAAGGAAUGGAUUUUUCACAUUCCCAGCAACCUGAAUGAAAUUGGAGACUAUUAUUCUAAGUGAAGUAACCCAGGAAUAGAAAACCAAACAUUGUAUGUUCUCACUCAUAAGUGCGAGCUAAGAUAUGAGGAUGCAAAGGCAUAAGAAUGACACAAUAGACUUUGGGGACUCAGGGUGAAAGGGUGGAAAGAGUGUGAGGGAUAAAAGACUACGAAUUGGGUAUAGUGUAUACUGGUCAGGUGAUAGGUGCACCAAAAUCUCAUAAAUCAGCACUAAAGAAUUUAUUCGUGUAACCAAACACCACCUGUUCCCCAAUAACCUAUGGAAAUAAAUAAAAUAAAGAAAUGUCUUAAUUGAAAGGCAUAAAGUUUCUGAAAUAUUUUUUAAAACCACCCCCCACACCCACACACACAACUAUCCUUAACACACACACAGUAUUUUAGUACACUGUUAAUAUAUAUGCCCCUAUGUUUUAAUUGCCAUUAAACCAAUCCAAACAGAUGAGAACCUGGCCAAUGACUGCCAUUUCCCUAACUUGAGCGAUUGCCAAAAGCAUUUGGUUUAUUCUGAGGUGAUCUCUCUUUCUGACAUUUAUUUUGGGCUCUGAGAGAGAGUUUUAACCCAUAAUAGCUGAUGGAAUGUGAUUAAGUGAUAGUUCCCAGCCUGUGAAGAUGCAGGGAAAAAACAAACAAACAACAACAACAAAAACACCUAAGCAGCAUAUCAGACAGCAUGCCAAAAUAAUCAUUUUACUGCGACUCAAGAUACCUUCAAAGAAUUGGCCUACCAAAGAUUAGCAAGUUAAGAGUUCAUGGGAGAUAUUUGCCAUUAGAAAGGGCAGUAUUAGACAUCACUGCUGCUGGUUAGAAUUCACCAAAACUUGAAUGAAUGGCAACCAGAAGAAACCUUGGCAGGAGGCACUGGAGACUUCAGGAGGAGAUAUGAGGAGACUUGAAGGGCAAUAGCCAACACAGCUGCCAGGGAACACACCUGCAGGGAGGUCUAUUGUUUAGCAACCUCAUGUAGCACUGAACGUUUAAGUGCUCCUAUAUUCAGGUAGAAUGCUGCUAAAAUUGGGGAACAUGUAUGUAUUCAUACAGACGAUGUUGACAAAACACUUGCCAUAAUACUAGGCAAAACAAAACCUAACAGGUUUCAUUCUAUGGUAUGAUCAUAAUUAUCAAAAACAAAAGCACAAAACUAUACAAAUAAAGGAGUUAAGAUGGAAAUACACAAAUCUAUGAACGGUGAUUGCCUUGGCUGGUAGAACGAUAAGUAGAGUUUUCUUCCCUUUCUGUGACUUCCAAAUUUUCUUGAAUAAUUACGUGCUUUUACAAUAAAAAAAAAACUUACUUUAAAAAGAAGAAAUGUCCUUUGUUUUCUUUCUCUCUCUCUCUCUCUCUCUCUCUCUCUCUCUGGAAAGUACACUAUUUUCCUCUUAGGAGUUGCCUCACCUGCUGUUUUCUGGUAUUCCAUUUUCCGUGACCCAAGCCAACACACAAUGUUCAGCAAAUGAAGAAAACAUGAGGGAAUUGGUGAGAUGAGAGUUAGAUUUGGGGGAAGCCAAGUGACUAAAAUAAGCAGUUAAUUCUUUAUCAUGUAGUCAUUCUGCCUGGCAAACACUAGGUAUGCCAAUAAGUACUAACACAGUGCCUAUCUCUUUUCAGUAUUAUUUUAAAAUGUUAUAACACCUGAGCAUUAUGGAAAUUGUUCUUUUUGAAGUAAAACUCAGGAUACAAUAAUCAACAAAGGACUUCCAAGCUGUCUCUAGGAGCAAGUUUUAUACACAAAUACAUAUAAUUGUUUAAUAACCUCAUAAUUUGUUCAUAAUUUAUUCAUAAAUAACAAACGUAUACAUAAGUAUAAUGUAAAUAUACAUAUCCCAAAUUAGUAAUAUUUGGGGAACAUUUUGAUGGUUCAUGUGAAAAUAGGACAUGUUGAAUUUGAAAUGGUUAUAGGACACUAAUGUAUUUCUUAAUUGUACUUAAAAUGCUAAAAUGACUCUGAAGAUAGCUGUUUAUUGCUUAAAAACAAAUAUUUCCAUUACUUUCUAGAAUAAGAGGUAUCAACAGCAGUAGCAGCAGUACGUAUUACAUUUAAGAGUUGAUGUGGAAAUCAGAUUGCCUCAACUCAAACCAAAUUCCUUAAGUCCGUGACCAAGGGCAAGUUACUAAAUCCUUCAAGUCUCACUUUCCUGAUUUGUAAAAUAGAGUACUUGGAGGUUUGAAAUGAUUACAUGACAUAAUUAAUAUUUACAUAGUACCUCACCCAUAUGAGGUCUUAAUAAAUGUUAUCCAUUACUGUUAUCAUCCUUACUAUCAAACAUGUACCAGUAGAACCCAGGCUCAAUUUUUAAAUCAGUCCUUUGCUGUAGAAGCCACAAGACGGCUGCAUCUGAGAGGAUACUGACAGGUACUGCCAGGAAGCCAUGUGUACCUGCAGGAGACCAGCACGUGUUGUAGCAGGAAGUUAGAACUCAGAAUUGUAAGUUGCUAACCAUAUUUAAGAAUUUCUUGUGCACUCAGUUUUCAAUGAUGGGAAGAGCAGCUUGAACAUUUUGGGGGUGUUAGGUACAGAAUGUAGAUUUUCCAGCCCUGUGUCCUUUGGAAUACAAGCUGCUACUUGUUGUCAAUGUUGGAAUGAAGGUUUAUUUUGGCAAGGAUGAGACUGUCUUCCUUCCAGAUUCUUGGGAAUUUAACAUGCCAGAUACUAGUGGGCUCAGCUCUCAAUGAAAAAGCACAAGAAUGGCAUCUGGUGGAUCUCCAUAUCCUUUCCAAGAGACCCAUUUACCCUCCCUCUCUAGCUCUAAUUCUUUUAUAGAAUAGGACCGAAAUAAAAUGUUUCUGCAUUUCCAAAGAUUUUAGUCUCUAUGGUAUAGGAAUUCCAAUGCUGAGACCUCAAUAUGAAAACUAGUCAUAUUUAUGGGAAAACUCCCAGGGUAUCUGGUACAAGCAAAUGUAGAACCACUCGUUAGCAACAUUUCCUCAAAUAAGAUUCUAUGCAGUUUCCAUAGUGUUAAUAAUCCCCACUGAGAGUUAGUUCACAAUGAAAAAUUAUGAACUAUAUAAGGAAACAAACCACCAGGAAGAUUAUAAGUACAAUAUCAGAAAAAAUAGCAUCCCCCAAAUUCAAAUUAAUAGAAUGUUAAGAGGUUACUAAAAUAUGUAUUUUUAAAAUUAUUAAAGAGAUAGGAGAAGGCAAAAUAACAACGAAGGAACAGGACAUAGUAAAAAUAAUUAGAGAAACUGGAAAAUGAAACAAAUGGAAUUUCUACAAAUGAAAAUAUAGUUACUGAGAUUAAACUCAGUAUAGAAAUGAAAUAGCAUAUUAAACUAAGGUGACAAAAGAAUUACUGAACUGGAAGCUAGAAUUAAAAAGAAGGUAAACAAACAGAAUAUGUAAAAGUUUUAGAGAGACAUGGAAGAUAGAAAGAAAAUUUUCAACAUUUACCUAGAAUAAGUAACGGAAAGCAAUAGUAGAUAGAAUAAGAGUAACACGCCGGGUGCGGUGGCUCCCGCCUGUAAUCCCAGCACUUUGGGAGGCCGAGGCGGGUGGAUCACCUGAGGUCGGGAUUUCGAGACCAGCCUGACCAACAUGGAGAAACCCCGUCUCUACUGAAAAUACAAAAAAAUUAGCCAGGCGUGGUGGUGCAUGCCUGUAAUCUCAGCUACUAGGGAGGCUGAGGCAGGAGAAUCGCUUGAACCCGGGAGGCGGAGGUUGCGGUGAGCCAAGAUCACGCUAUUGCACUCCAGCCUAGGCAACAAGAGUAAAACUCGGUCUUGAAAAAAAAAAAAAAAAAAAGAGUAACACUUGUUCUUUGGAAGACAAUAACUUGGAAUUUGAUAAAAAAGAUAUUUUAGAAUUGAAAAAUAUAAAUGCUCAGUUUGAUAAAGCAAGAUAUCCAAGCAGUACAAAGAAAAAAAAAGUUUUUAUCUAGACACAUAACAGUAAAACUGCAGCAUCUCAAGAUGAAGAUAACAUCUUUUUAAAAAACCAAUUAGAAAAAAAUAGUUCCAUGCAAAAGACCUACAAUUAAUAUGGCAGCAGACUUCUCAUGAGCAACAAUAAAGACCAGAAGACAAUGAAAUAAUUUUUAAAUUCUGAGAGUAAAAGAAAAUCAGUAUUCUAUAUUCAACUAAACAUUUUCUACUCAAAAAUCCAUACAUAUAUACGUGCUCUUUUAAUACGGGAGGUGAAAUAAUAACAAAUA
This 17900-nucleotide long non-coding RNA is filed under the name Homo sapiens (human). RNAcentral's name for it is "non-protein coding lnc-VPS33B-8:2". The record is from RNAcentral. Lineage: Eukaryota; Metazoa; Chordata; Mammalia; Primates; Hominidae.